Molecule: ribosomal RNA, 301 nt
Filed under: uncultured bacterium
Lineage: Bacteria
Description: partial 16S ribosomal RNA
Rfam family: Bacterial small subunit ribosomal RNA
Source: RNAcentral
CAGUCGCCGCGGUAAUACGAAGGGUGCAAGUGUUACUCGGAAUUACUGGGCGUAAAGCGUGCGUAGGUGGUGGUUCAAGUCCGUUGUGAAAGCCCUGGGCUCAACCUGGAAUUGCAGUGGAUACUGGGUCACUAGAGUGUGGUAGAGGAUAGUGGAAUUUCCGGUGUAGCAGUGAAAUGCGUAGAGAUCGGAAGGAACAUCUGUGGCGAAGGCGGCUAUCUGGGCCAACACUGACACUGAGGCACGAAAGCGUGGGGAGCAAACAGGAUUAGAUACCCGGUAGUCCCUGUCUCUUAUACAC